RNAcentral lists this ribosomal RNA (506 nucleotides) under uncultured bacterium. RNAcentral's name for it is "partial 16S ribosomal RNA". It matches the Rfam family "Bacterial small subunit ribosomal RNA", at positions 899 to 1397 of the family's 1533-position model. The record is from RNAcentral.
ACUCAAAGGAAUUGACGGGGGCCCGCACAAGUGGUGGAGCAUGUGGUUUAAUUCGACGCUACGCGAAGAACCUUACCCGGGUUUGAAUUGCAGUGGUUGUACCUGCCAGAGAUGGCAGGGAGGGGGCAACCCCGCUGCUGUGAAGGUGCUGCAUGGCUGUCGUCAGCUCGUGCCGUGAGGUGUUGGGUUAAGUCCCGCAACGAGCGCAACCCUUAUCCUUAGUUGCCAGCGCGUAAUGGCGGGCACUCUGGGGAGACUGCCGACACAAGUCGGAGGAAGGUGGGGAUGACGUCAAGUCAGCAUGGCCCUUACGUCCGGGGCUACACACGUGCUACAAUGGCCGGUACAACGGGCAGCGAGACCGCGAGGUGGAGCGAAUCCCUUCAAAGCCGGCCUCAGUUCGGAUUGCAGGCUGCAACUCGCCUGCAUGAAGUUGGAAUCACUAGUAACCGCAGAUCAGCUACGCUGCGGUGAAUACGUUCCCGGGCCUUGUACACACCGCCCGU